GACGAACGCUGGCGGCGUGCCUAACACAUGCAAGUCGAGCGAAUGAAGUUCCUUCGGGAAUGGAUUUAGCGGCGGACGGGUGAGUAACACGUGGGCAACCUGCCUCAUAGAGGGGAAUAGCCUUCCGAAAGGGAGAUUAAUACCGCAUAAGAUUGUAGUAUCGCAUGAUACAGCAAUUAAAGGAGCAAUCCGCUAUGAGAUGGGCCCGCGGCGCAUUAGCUAGUUGGUGAGGUAACGGCUCACCAAGGCGACGAUGCGUAGCCGACCUGAGAGGGUGAUCGGCCACAUUGGGACUGAGACACGGCCCAGACUCCUACGGGAGGCAGCAGUGGGGAAUAUUGCACAAUGGGGGAAACCCCGAUGCAGCAACGCCGCGUGAGUGAUGACGGCCUUCGGGUUGUAAAGCUCUGUCUUCAGGGACGAUAAUGACGGUACCUGAGGAGGAAGCCACGGCUAACUACGUG
This 464-nucleotide ribosomal RNA is filed under the name uncultured bacterium. RNAcentral describes it as "partial 16S ribosomal RNA". It matches the Rfam family "Bacterial small subunit ribosomal RNA", at positions 28 to 507 of the family's 1533-position model. The record is from RNAcentral.